Molecule: ribosomal RNA, 253 nt
Filed under: uncultured bacterium
Lineage: Bacteria
Description: partial 16S ribosomal RNA
Rfam family: Bacterial small subunit ribosomal RNA
Source: RNAcentral
UACGUAGGUGGCAAGCGUUGUCCGGAAUUAUUGGGCGUAAAGGGCGCGUAGGCGGUCCCUUAAGUCAGAUGUGAAAUCCCGAGGCUUAACCUCGGGCGUGCAUUUGAAACUGGGGGACUAGAGUGCAGGAGAGGUAAGUGGAAUUCCUAGUGUAGCGGUGAAAUGCGUAGAUAUUAGGAGGAACACCAGUGGCGAAGGCGACUUACUGGACUGUAACUGACGCUGAGUCACGAAAGCGUGGGUAGCAAACAGG